CGAACGCUGGCGGCAUGCCUAACACAUGCAAGUCGAACGAGACCUUCGGGUCUAGAGGCGCACGGGUGCGUAACGCGUGGGAACCUGCCCUUAGGUUCGGAAUAACUCCCCGAAAGGGGUGCUAAUACCGGAUAAUGUCUUCGGACCAAAGAUUUAUCGCCUUUGGAUGGGCCCGCGUUGGAUUAGCUAGUUGGUAGGGUAAAAGCCUACCAAGGCGACGAUCCAUAGCUGGUCUGAGAGGAUGAUCAGCCACACUGGGACUGAGACACGGCCCAGACUCCUACGGGAGGCAGCAGUGGGGAAUAUUGGACAAUGGGCGAAAGCCUGAUCCAGCAAUGCCGCGUGAGUGAUGAAGGCCUUAGGGUUGUAAAGCUCUUUUACCCGGGAUGAUAAUGACAGUACCGGGAGAAUAAGCUCCGGCUAACUCCGUG
RNAcentral lists this ribosomal RNA (431 nucleotides) under uncultured bacterium. RNAcentral describes it as "partial 16S ribosomal RNA". It matches the Rfam family "Bacterial small subunit ribosomal RNA", at positions 30 to 507 of the family's 1533-position model. The record is from RNAcentral.